Oncorhynchus keta (chum salmon) is the source of this 472-nucleotide long non-coding RNA. RefSeq lists it as uncharacterized. Lineage: Eukaryota; Metazoa; Chordata; Actinopteri; Salmoniformes; Salmonidae. The transcript is spliced from 3 exons. The record is from RefSeq and is a predicted model, not a curated record.
GGAGAUACAGGUAGAUAGACACAGGUAGUUACAGGGAGAUACAGGUAGAUAGACACAGGUAGUUACAGGGAGAUACAGCUAGAUAGACACAGGUAGUUACAGGGAGAUACAGGUAGAUAGACACAGGUAGUUACAGGGAGAUACAGGUAGAUAGACACAGGUAGUUCCAGGGAGAUACAGCUAGAUAGACACAGGUAGUUACAGGUAGAUAGACACAGGUAGUUACAGGGAGAUACAGGUAGAUAGACACAGGUAGUUCCAGGGAGAUACAGCUAGAUAGACACAGGUAGUUCCAGGGAGAUACAGGUAGAUAGACACAGGUAGUUCCAGGGAGAUACAGCUAGAUAGACACAGGUAGUUCCAGGGAGAUACAGCUAGAUAGACACAGGUAGUUCCAGGGAGAUACAGCUAGAUAGACACAGGUAGUUCCAGGGAGAUAGGCACAGGUAGUUCCAGGGAGAUACAGGUAGAU